CAGUCGCCGCGGUAAUACGAAGGGUGCAAGCGUUAAUCGGAAUUACUGGGCGUAAAGCGUGCGUAGGCGGUGAGUUAAGUCUGCUGUGAAAUCCCCGGGCUCAACCUGGGAAUGGCAGUGGAUACUGGCUCGCUAGAGUGUGUCAGAGGAUGGUGGAAUUCCCGGUGUAGCGGUGAAAUGCGUAGAGAUCGGGAGGAACAUCAGUGGCGAAGGCGGCCAUCUGGGACAACACUGACGCUGAGGCACGAAAGCGUGCGGAGCAAACAGGAUUAGAUACCCGGGUAGUCCCUGUCUCUUAUAA
RNAcentral lists this ribosomal RNA (301 nucleotides) under uncultured bacterium. Its description in RNAcentral is "partial 16S ribosomal RNA". It matches the Rfam family "Bacterial small subunit ribosomal RNA", at positions 509 to 809 of the family's 1533-position model. The record is from RNAcentral.